This 443-nucleotide ribosomal RNA is filed under the name uncultured bacterium. Its description in RNAcentral is "partial 16S ribosomal RNA". It matches the Rfam family "Bacterial small subunit ribosomal RNA", at positions 338 to 795 of the family's 1533-position model. The record is from RNAcentral.
CCUACGGGUGGCAGCAGUGGGGGAUAUUGGACAAUGGGGGGAACCCUGAUCCAGCGACGCCGCGUGAGUGAAGAAGUAUUUCGGUAUGUAAAGCUCUGUCAGCAGGGAAGAAAGAAAUGACGGUACCUGACCACGAAGCCCCGGCUAACUACGUGCCAGCAGCCGCGGUAAUACGGAGGGGGCAAGCGUUAUCCGGAAUUACUGGGUGUAAAGGGAGCGUAGACGGUUAAGUAAGUCUGGAGUGAAAGGCCGGGGCCCAACCCCGGGACUGCUCUGGAAACUAUUGAACUUGAGUGCAGGAGAGGUAAGCGGAAUUCCUAGUGUAGCGGUGAAAUGCGUAGAUAUUAGGAGGAACACCAGUGGCGAAGGCGGCUUACUGGACUGUAACUGACGUUGAGGCUCGAAAGCGUGGGGAGCAAACAGGAUUAGAUACCCGUGUAGUC